This is a long non-coding RNA of Synchiropus splendidus (mandarinfish), 6116 nucleotides long. RefSeq lists it as uncharacterized. NCBI's taxonomy places the organism in Eukaryota, Metazoa, Chordata, Actinopteri, Syngnathiformes, Callionymidae. The transcript is spliced from 3 exons. The record is from RefSeq and is a predicted model, not a curated record.
AAACGAUCGAGGUGCUAAAGGAAACUAGAGAGAGCGAGAGGAGGAGCGACGGGGAGAGAGGAAAAUGAGGGAGAGACAGAGAGGAGGAGGGAUGCUGCAGUUUAGUGAUAACACCAAGUGCAGACGCGAGGAUGGAAAUUCAAGGCAGACGUUUGGAGAGUUGCUGCACGUUGGCCAGCUGGAGCUCCGCUCAGCCAUCUGAGGAUCGUUGGGUUGGACCAGGGUGCCCGAGGAGCCCAGUGAAUUAAGUCAUGCAUCACUCCAGCAACACCUGAGUGUGGCGUCACAUGGUUCUCAGGUGGACCAGAAGCGGGAUCCCACACUUAAAAGCCAGUUCUUCUGACAUAUAUUGACCAGAGGGAGAAGAAGGGCGGGAUCAGGAUGAGUCAGAGGAAAGCAGCUGGAAUUCUUUUGCCAGUGCACGAGCUGGUGGUGAUGGAGGUGCAGUAGAAAAGAAGAGAAGGAGAGCUUCUCCAGACCAGCAGCAGUGAGGGAGGUGCAGGGGAAGUGAGUCAGCGUGCUGGAGGGAGGCGAGGAAGAGCGAAGUGGAGGGUGAAGUUAGACGAGGGAAGGUUGAAUGAAGGUUUGCUGAAGUCCUCCCUCGACAUCGGGAGAGAACUGACCCAAGGAAACCGGGAAACUUCAGCAGCCAGCCGGAGCAGUCGAGCUGACCGAGUCGCAAAGGAACGUCGACACACAGCAACAGGGCCAUUUCAACGGUGACAGCCAGAUAUUGCUCUUAAAUAUUGAUACUGACUGGAAUCCUGCACAGCAGACUGAAGACGCUGGGAAAUCAAAACCCUGAAAAGACUGGUCUGAUUCUGCCUAAACCAGGGUUUGUUUCCAGGCCGAUCUUUGAUCAAGCCGACAUCCACCCUCAGAGAGAGUGAGACUUUCUUGCCUCAGUUUUUCUUGGGAGAUUUCGACACUCGGACUUGGCUGACGGUUGCCCGUGCGAUAGCCAAAAUGACGGGGCAGGACUCAAAGAAGCAGCCUUCACACAUCUGCACGUGAUGAAGACAAGUGUGGAGCAGAUCCUGCGAAGACAUACAUGUGUCACGGGAAGCCAGCUGUGUCUGAGAGUGUAUUGUCACAGCUCUGCCUUGAGGUGUGUGUGAUGUGCCGUACCAGUGUGAGUCGCCAGUUUCCUCCCCGCCAGCGACAGAGCUGGACCUGAACAGCGGUGGAGAGCGGGGGGACAGGAAGGGGGGCGAGAAGCAGCAAAGCAAAGUGAAAGCCACCAGCAGCAGAGAAGAGACUCAGAAACAACCAACAUGCUCGGAUAACAAGCCAAAGGAGCCGCGUUUCUGGCUGCGCCCCUGGUGCAAUGUGUGGCGUGGCGCCCUGCGGCGGGGGGGUUCUGUGAUGGUAACCAUGAUCCCAGGCAGCCACUAUGUCUGCAGCGCUCACGCCAGAGAGGACGACUCCACCAACGACAGGGAAGAGCGGAUCCUCGCCGUGUUAGGCAUCAUCGGAACCAUUCUGAACCUCUUGGUGGUGAUAUUUGUCUACAUCUACACUUCGGUCACCUGAGUAAAGAACCUUCCCCAAACGUUCCACCUCAUUCACUAUUCAUGGGCUCGGAGGGUUUGAUUGCUCAGCGAAUGCGGAGACGUGAGGUUCAUUGACAGAGCGUUCUUAACUACCUGGAUCACAUGAAAUCCCUGAUGACAGCUGGCUGCCGGGAAUCCAAGCCAAACGUAGAGUCCCUCUUCACGUCAAGACAUCAUCACUCCUCUCUUUUGGACAAGCCCAGAAAGACCUUCAGAGCUGAAAUGCAUUUUUAUAACCUGCGACUGAAUGAAGAAUUUGUAGCCAGAAGUUUGUGUCGCACAAAAUAGUUAAAAAACAAAGUUUCUUCCUGGUUUUUAGCUGCUGAGAUGGAAAAAAGGUUUCACACGGAACUGACGUGUCCUUACUUGAGCACACCAGAGGAGAGGUUCCUGGCUGUGCUGGGCGUCAUCGGCAUCAUGCUAAACCUCCUGCUGCUCGUCUUCGUCUACAUAUACACUGCCAUCUGACCAUUCCAUGUGAGAGAUACUCAUGGAAGAACUGAACACUGUCAAAAUGAUGCUGCGUGAUGUGAUGUGUAGAUAAUCAUAGCCAUCUGUAUCGCACAUGAUGCCGUUGCCUGAGAAGAAAAAGGAUGGCAGCGGAUAGAAGUGAUGAGUCAGCGUGGACACGGGCUCUUGACAAAAGCAAAGACCGAUCUGUUGUGGGUUUUUACGACCGAGUAAUGGGCUGUUUCCCCUCGCCAUGUGUCUCUGACUGGAUCGCUACACCGAGCGCGGAGCAGCACGAGAGAGUGGAACUGACACCGUGUCACACAAAGCAAAUCAGAACAGUACUGUUGCGGCCUGUCACAGCGGCGCACACUUGCAGCCGAGAAAUUGAGCAGAACCAGCGGGGAUUGCCCGGAAAAACAGGAGCCGAGGCCUCCAAACAAGGCUCCGCCAUCUGUCUGGGAAAUCAGCGAGGCACAACACGCCGCCCAGGAUUGGAUAACCGCGCUUCCGCUGGAACCACACGUCGCUGCGGAUAUUAUUUUGGGAACAGCGCGUCUCACUUGAAUUCGGUGGCGAGGCGAGGAGGAGGUGCGGGUCUGAAUCUGCACUUCAUUCUCAUCAUUCUCUUCUCCACCAACAAGCUCACGCCGGAGAAGACAUAGCACUGAAACCCCGCCGUUUCACUGAGCACACGACGUCACACGCACUCGAGCAGGGACUUGAACUCAGAGGAUUCUGGAGGACACUGUUUCAUAAGUGUUGCCAUUUGUGUCAUCGCAUCGUGAGGCUCUUUGUUACCUUGUGUGUUCCUGCCUAUAGUUUUAGCGCAGCUGUGUGUUUGGCGGAACUGAUGUGGCGCUAACCUUCAUCUGACAUAUCUAAUGAGUUUACUACUGUUUGUAGUUCUGGCAGAACAAGUGAGAUUUAUAGAACAUUUCUCAUUGGACGGGACGUUGGGGUUGCUGCAGAUGGCUCAGUCGCCACGGUGAUCUGAGGGCUCAGACACGUAGCAUGUCUCCAUGAAAUGUGACUUCUAUUCAGGUAUUUGUAAACUGGCGGUUUUGAAUCUGUUUUUUUAUGAACCGGAGGACAGUGUAGGGAUUUCAGGGUGGAUGUGGCGAGAACAACUUUGAUGCAGGUGCAACUGUCGGGAUAUUGUAGAUGAGAUGUGGUUGCAGCUUGGAGAACGUGAGGUCGGAGGUAUUUUUUGCCCUCAGUGAGGCAUUUCUCACUUAUCCUCCUCAUUUUGUCUUCCGCUCCCUUUUCCUGGUAGCUCCAGCCGACACGUCCACCAGUCAGCAGGGGGCGCUGCCCUACAAAAACAACAUUUUAGUCAUCAUCUUUGAUGAAUCACUCAUAACUGUUUGGGUCCAGAGAGUGUUACAUUCUGCUGAAGGGGCAAUGAGAAAAGUGCCCCGUCAGCUCAGCCAUUCGCUGACAUGAAGCGGUCACAUGGAAACCGUCCUGAGAGCCACUUCUCUCUCCUCUCUCUUUUUAACGGAAUCUUCAAUACGAGCUCUUCUCCUGCCUCCGAUUACUGCCAAAUAUUUUUCGCACAAUCUUGAAUAAUUGUGUUCAGAGUGUUGCCAUUCUGCCGUUUGUGUUCAAUUGUAUGAACUGAGAUGCUUGAAUGCGACGCUGGCUCAGGCUCUUUUUUUCACCAGCCGCCCCCGAUGUCCAGUCUCUUCUCACCACAUGUCCGAACCAUCUGUCCUCCCUUCCUUUGUCUCCAAACAUCUCCACGUCAGCUGUACUCGGUCACUCCGACAGAAAACCCAGGCUUCUUCUUCUCUGCCGCAUCUAUCUCGGCUUCCCGUCUGAGUCACAGCCUCUAAAGCAAGGGCCUCAAACCUGACUUCAAGGGGCCGCAGCAGGUUUUAGCUCCAUCAAGUGGACACCAGUCUGCUGAUCAGUGUUUAUCAGUCUGGUGCUGUUGGUAUCAGCUCAAACCUAAUUGGUUAAACAAAACUGGCUCUUUUGUGGAUCCGUUUGAGGCCCCUGCUGUGAACCAAACACCACAGCAGCUCUCACUUGAAUAGAGCUUCCCUUUCUCGGUUUUGUGAGGCUACUUUGAAAACUCCAAUACUGGCUGAAAAAAUAUUCAUCUCCUGCUUCACAUCAUCAGGAAUCAAAAUGCAAAGUUCUUCAGAGAUGGCUUCAGAUGUUGAUCUCAAUCAUGGAGUGUCAGAGGGACAAAAAAGUGAAAAGUGUUAUUAUGCAUUUCAUGGCAAGACCUGCGGAGAGUAUCCAAAAUGUGUAUGAGGAAAUCACCGCCAUCAUGGGGUCAAAUAUAUUUGAAUAUAAUAUUAUUAUAGGGAACUUUUUUUUCAUUUUUCUACCCUAAAAUGAGGAGUUAAAGGCCUAUAAAGGAAAUCGUGCCUGUGUUUCAAACGCCGCGUCCUGACUCUCAUGUAGAAGCGUCACUAAGGAUGCGAGCCAUGUAAGUGGUUAUAAACAAGAGGAAUCAGUGAAGAGAGCUUCAACAUGUCUCCCCGUGUGUGCUGCUCCUCAUCUCUUCUUCGUGUCUCAUCAGAGCUAUGUAUUGCGUAGUAACUGCAACACUGCCCCACAUGGUUUCCAGUGGUACUGCACCGUUUGGUCACAAGCUUUGGGGAAACAAGAGGAAAUAUGGACCAAAAGAACGCAGAGCAACGACAAAGGCUCCGUCCAUUUCCGGGUCUAUACAUAGCGGUGAGCAUAAUGAUGCUACCAGAAUGAAUGACAGGUGCUCUUUUGCUGGGGGCCGAGGGGUCAUUAAUAAUGGAGAUGGUGUCAUCCGCUAUUUACAAUUGCAGCCUUCCAGCUGGUUGUCAAAUUAAAUGUCAUUUUAUGGGGAGACGUUUCUACAUUUACUCUGGAAAAAAGAAAGAUAGAUAAAAAUCACACCAUCGGUUUUGGGACCAACAACCUCUUUAAGCCCUGGUUUAGCUAAACUGCUACGUUUGGGCACUAAAAUGGCAAGCGCUCCCCCCCUCACAGAUUUUAUUUUUACACCAUAUCUCAGCACAUAUCAAGGGAUUCUGCAUCAGCAUGCUGGCAUUUGCACAUUUAGUUCCUGUCACAUCCGGUAAGCGCAGAAGAGACAGGCCAGCUGAAAUGUACUGCGAGUACAGCACCAGACCAGCUACCUCAUGAACGCCAGCUGAGCUUCCAGUCAGUGGCACAACUGUGCAGAGAAAUCUGAAGGGAAAAAAAUCACCUUCCACGGGAUGAUCACAUGGUAUUAGGGUCCGUCUCCUUUCAUUUCGUUGUCAAAUUGGACUCCACCAUUGGUUUAGAAGCGAAACAAAGCAGGCUUGUUCAAAUAAAGAGCAACAUAUCGUGUUUUUAAUGCCACUGUCCUUAAUGAUGACUGACGUACCUGUGGAAUGGAUGUGAUUUUGCAUGAUUUUUUGGGGGUGAGACCAGUUUCAAUAUGACAGACUAAGUGCCAAGCAGACCAAUGACAGCAGAAAGCCCAGAGGGCCAGUCCUUGCCAUCUGCUGUCCUCACAGCCACCUCCUCAGCGUACACACACACACGUUAGCACAAAACCCGCGUUAUCGUUUCUACUCACUUGUCCACGGUGCGAGUGGUUUUUACAGCCCCAUCAUCAUAUUAGAAAUGUCUCAGUCCUGGGAAGUACCAUUAGUGCCAGAGGGGAGGGAUCCUGCAUAAUCCGAAGUGGAACUUGGAUUUGUGACAAACAUAGAAUCCUCAUGUUUUUUCAUGAUGCAUUGCAUGAAUUGGUUUCUUGCCUGACGGGGCAUUUUUGGACGCAGAGCUAGUCAAGUGGCUGCUCCCACGACUCACAUUACAUUUUAAACUCAAACCAUCUUCUGGAAAGAUCCAGUUUUUUUAGGAUUCUGGGGAAACACUAACAUACUGACAAUGUUCUUCCGUCAUGAUGGCUGGACUCGUGAGGGACGCCCUGAACCCAGCGUCGGUCCUGAGUUAACUUCGCUAAAGCUGCUGCCACAGAAGCUCCUUCAUGUGGAGAGAACAUCGCGAACUGGUUCAUCAAUAACUGUCGGGAUGUUUCUGUAUGUGACGACUGCACAAAUGCUCAUACUUUUUUGUCAUGCUGACUUAUGGAUAUAUGCUGUAUAGUAAUAGAACUGCCAAUAAAAC